GGUGACUGGGAGACAACAGAACAUGUCAUGCGUGCAUUGGCUGAAGUGCCGUCAGGGGGGCUGUGUGCCUUCUCCCAGAUCCCAUCCCUUCUUUUGCUAAAUAGGAAAUCGCCUGUGGAGGAUAGACAGAUAGACAGACUGACACACAUACAGACAGACACACACAGACAGAUCAACCAACCAUAGGAAAUACCUACCACAAAUUGCCUAACAAUGAAGAUUUCACAAUGACAAGCAGGGCC
Molecule: non-coding RNA, 242 nt
Organism: Pelobates cultripes (western spadefoot toad)
Lineage: Eukaryota; Metazoa; Chordata; Amphibia; Anura; Pelobatidae
Source: the annotation of a GenBank genome assembly